Molecule: ribosomal RNA, 519 nt
Filed under: Triticum aestivum (bread wheat)
Lineage: Eukaryota; Viridiplantae; Streptophyta; Magnoliopsida; Poales; Poaceae
Description: partial small subunit ribosomal RNA
Source: RNAcentral
AUGGACUUCUUCGACGCGGCCUUCCAGGGCGACCUUCCCCGCCUCAGGGAGCUGGCGAGCGGCAGGGACGCGGAGGGGAUGGCCUGGCUCGCCGAUGUGUGUCUAGUGGGCGCGGGCCCGAUGCAGACGGCGGCACGCUUGGGGAAACUGGACGCCGUCAGGUGCAUGGUGGAGGAGCUGGGCUUCGAUGUCAAUGCUGGCAGCCAAGCCGGUGUAACUGCUUUGGCUGCCGCUGCAGCAGAUGGAAGAAUGCGUGUUAUGAGGUACCUUCUGGACAAGGGGGCCGAUCCAAAUAAGCCAGCCAAUUCAGGCCAUUAUCCUCUUCACCAUGCUGCAAAACAUGGACGUGAUGAAGCAGCACGAUUGUUGCUAUCUAGAGGAGCUAGUAUUGAUGUAGCUUAUCUUGGUCUGACACCACUACAUUUCGCUGCUGGCUACGGGAUGAUUGGUGUCAUGAAAGUUCUGUUGGGCACCAUGCAGAUCCGAACAAGGUCUCAGAAGAGGGAAGUACUCCGCUGA